This 253-nucleotide ribosomal RNA is filed under the name uncultured bacterium. Its description in RNAcentral is "partial 16S ribosomal RNA". It matches the Rfam family "Bacterial small subunit ribosomal RNA", at positions 524 to 776 of the family's 1533-position model. The record is from RNAcentral.
UACAGAGGGGUCAAGCGUUGUUCGGAAUUACUGGGCGUAAAGGGCGCGUAGGUGGCCUUCUAAGUCGAACGUGAAAUCCCCGGGCUCAACCCGGGAACUGCGUCCGAUACUGGAAGGCUUGAAUCCGGGAGAGGGAUGCGGAAUUCCAGGUGUAGCGGUGAAAUGCGUAGAUAUCUGGAGGAACACCGGUGGCGAAGGCGGCGUUCUGGACUGCAACUGACACUGAAGAACGAAAGCCAGGGGAGCAAACGGG